RNAcentral lists this ribosomal RNA (529 nucleotides) under uncultured bacterium. RNAcentral describes it as "bacterial SSU rRNA". It matches the Rfam family "Bacterial small subunit ribosomal RNA", at positions 777 to 1304 of the family's 1533-position model. The record is from RNAcentral.
AAUAGAUACCCCGGUAGUCCACGCCGUAAACGAUGAGUGCUAAGUGUUAGAGGGUUUCCGCCCUUUAGUGCUGCAGCAAACGCAUUAAGCACUCCGCCUGGGGAGUACGGCCGCAAGGCUGAAACUCAAAGGAAUUGACGGGGGCCCGCACAAGCGGUGGAGCAUGUGGUUUAAUUCGAAGCAACGCGAAGAACCUUACCAGGUCUUGACAUCCCCUGACAACCCUAGAGAUAGGGCGUUCCCCUUCGGGGGACAGGGUGACAGGUGGUGCAUGGUUGUCGUCAGCUCGUGUCGUGAGAUGUUGGGUUAAGUCCCGCAACGAGCGCAACCCUUGAUCUUAGUUGCCAGCAUUCAGUUGGGCACUCUAAGGUGACUGCCGGUGACGAACCGGAGGAAGGUGGGGAUGACGUCAAGUCAUCAUGCCCCUUAUGACCUGGGCUACACACGUGCUACAAUGGAUGGUACAAAGGGCUGCAAAACCGCGAGGUUAAGCGAAUCCCAUAAAACCAUUCUCAGUUCGGAUUGCAGG